RNAcentral lists this ribosomal RNA (253 nucleotides) under uncultured bacterium. RNAcentral's name for it is "partial 16S ribosomal RNA". It matches the Rfam family "Bacterial small subunit ribosomal RNA", at positions 524 to 776 of the family's 1533-position model. The record is from RNAcentral.
UACAGAGGGUGCAAGCGUUAAUCGGAUUUACUGGGCGUAAAGCGUGCGUAGGCGGUUCGCUAAGUCGGUUGUGAAAUCCCUGGGCUUAACCUGGGAACUGCAGUCGAUACUGGUGGACUAGAGUACGGUAGAGGGUGGCGGAACUCCGGGUGUAGCGGUGAAAUGCGUAGAUAUCUGGAGGAACACCGGUGGCGAAGGCGGCGUCCUGGACCAACACUGACACUGAGGAGCGAAAGCCAGGGGAGCAAACGGG